AAAAAGGUAAACCGUGGGUUUCCAUGUCAAUAUUUGACUGUCCGUUUUAUAUGAAAAAUUUUUAUAAUUAGUAUUUUCAUUAUUGUUAGAUGAUAAAACAUGAUUAAUACUUUAUGCGUGACUUAUUUUUUUAAUUUUUUUAAUAAUUUUUUUAAAUAAGACGGACGGUCAAACAUUAGACACAAAAAUUAGGGUUUGUCUCUUU
MicroRNA precursor from Oryza rufipogon (brownbeard rice), 205 nucleotides. It matches the Rfam family "MIR812 microRNA precursor family". NCBI's taxonomy places the organism in Eukaryota, Viridiplantae, Streptophyta, Magnoliopsida, Poales, Poaceae. The record is from Rfam.